Molecule: transfer RNA, 72 nt
Filed under: Pleomorphochaeta caudata
Lineage: Bacteria; Pseudomonadati; Spirochaetota; Spirochaetia; Spirochaetales; Sphaerochaetaceae
Also listed under: 5 other names
Description: tRNA-Thr
Rfam family: tRNA
About the family: Transfer RNA (tRNA) molecules are approximately 80 nucleotides in length. Their secondary structure includes four short double-helical elements and three loops (D, anti-codon, and T loops).
Source: RNAcentral
GCCGGAGUAGCUCAGGGGUAGAGCAACGCUCUCGUAAAGCGUGGGUCAAGGGUUCAAUUCCCUCCUCCGGCU